ACUCGUCUGAGCGAGUAUAAAUAGACAUUAGGCUCAGAGCGCCCCCAAGGCUACGUCCUUUGGGGGGUUGAA
Molecule: ribozyme, 72 nt
Filed under: unclassified sequences
Description: pistol ribozyme
Rfam family: Pistol ribozyme
Source: RNAcentral